UGGCACCAACCUGUACCCUCAAAGGACUUUGGAAACUUACUAACCUUGACUUGUACUAUCUCUACUUGGGCAAUAUCAUUGCUAGAGAUAGCUUUGUCUAUAGAAAAUGGAAGUGGAGGUUAAAUGUAAGAAGGGAGAGUGUUUGGCACUGGACAGAACAGAUAACAUCAGCACCUGCAAGAGGCUAAAGAAUGGCUAAGAGAACAAGGAAGAAAACAAAUGCUAAGAGAUGGCUGUAACAAUCCUAGUUAAGAAGCUGAAGACAGGGUAAUCAUUUUUAAAGAAUACUGUGGACAGGCUGCACAGAAUGCUAUGACUACUUUGUUAUAACCAGAGUCCCCUGGAUUUUCAGAAUUCAGAGCAGGCUUCAGAAACGAGCUUUGUCUGAUUCCUGAAAUGGAAUGUAUGAAACACUGACAGCAAUCUCUUAACUGUGUCUCUUCUCACUCCUGGCUUAUCCAGUGUUUCUGAAAUGGGGAGAUAGAAUGUGUGAGAGUCUGCAAAACUGGAAGACUGCUGGGAGGAAAAUGAAGGGGAAGGAGAAAGGGAAGGGAAGGGGUGAGGAAGAGGGAAAGCAGAGUGCAGGAGAAUGAACAAAUGGGGAGGUCGGUUUUAAAACAUGCCUCUCUUCCUCUCCCAGUCCCCAAAUGAGAAUUACAGAAUCCCAUUCAGUUUUGGGGAUAACCAUUAUUGCUUUGUGUCUAAAGCAGAGGUCUGGGAGUCAGGAGUCUUGGCUUAUAUUUCCCAGCAUGCCAAAGGUCAUACAGUGACUUCACUGUUGCAACCUCAGCUUCCUCAGCUGCAGAACCAAACACACAACACUUUGAGAUUUUGAAACAUACUUCAAAAGACAAGAAUAUUAAAAGGGGAUUUGAAAUUGUAUUAAACCCACUCACCUGCUGACAUUACAAUCAUUAAACGUUGCUUACAUGCUAGUUGGCUGGAACUCUGUAACUUUCUUUACAUGUACAUGAGAUGUUGGGUUUUCUGCAAAUUUAUAGUCAGUGGAUUCUGCCAGCACAUCCAAGUGAUGCAUAACUGACAACAAAUCUAUAAAAAACACUGCUGCAGAAAUGAUCCAUGAAACACUGGUGAAUUUCAGGGACUGUGUUUAUAAUUGAGGCUCAGAGAGCUUUCAUCUUAUCUUCAACUGUUUCCAUCUCACUAAAAACUCAGCUGUGCAUGUCUUUGUCCUCUGAGUUCACAUUCAGGAUGUUGUAAUCCCUAGCUGUUUUCAGUGGAAUUCAAUUAAUAAUCAUUGCAACACCACCACACACAAAUUCAUUUCCGGAGCUCCAAAUAAUGGGUUGUGGUUUCUCCUUUCCUGCAACUAUAACAUUCAGGGUGAAGUCUUUCCACUGUAUUCCCAAUUACUUGCACACGAGUAAGACAAGCAGGGUUUGGCCAACAAAUAAAUUAAUAGGAAAGAGAGCAGUGUAAUGAAGAUGGAUCUAUCUCUUCUAAAAUAUAUUUCCUGUAGCUUUAAAACAGCCUGAAAAUUUGAGAAUGGGAUUGGCUAAAGAGUUAAUGAGAUGAUCUGUAUUGUAACUGCAUUGGAUCUGCUUUCUGGUGAGGCUUUAUAUGCUGUAGUAAAUAGGGCACUGGACUGAGAGUUAGGAGUGUGUGUUCUGCUCCCAGACCUGCUGUAACACCCGGGGAAGUAACUUCUCUUCUUUGUGCCCCAGUCUUCCCCAUCUGCAAAAUGAAGAUGAUUAUGAUAACUUCAUUCCUUUGUAAAUGAUGUGGAGACCUACAGAAGAAGCAUUAUAGAACAGUUACAAAUUAUUCCCUGUUUGACAAGAUUAAUCAUUUAGGCAUUACCAGGUCAAACAUUAGACCAGCUGCAUAUCUGUAGAUCUAUUUCAUUUUGUAAGGAAGAAUUGCAAAAUUGUGUGUGUUGAGAGGUGAUCUUUGUCCAAUUCCACUUAUUAGUUUUCUUGCUCUCUCUCAUUUUCUGGAAAUCCAGAAGGCCUCCCCAGGGAGCUUCCUGUUACUCAUUCCCAGGUGUUUGAUAGUAAAAAACGAUUCAGUGGGAUAAGAAACCCCCAAGUGCAUCCCAGAAUCCAGCACUUGGACAGUGCCCAGCAUAACAUGGACUGUUUUGCUCUCUGACUUACACCUGUUCUAUACUAGCUACACCAACAUUUGUACUAUUAUUAAGGCUGCAUUUUCAUCAUGGCUAUCACGAGACCCAUGGAUCCCAUGAUUUCAUACUGUCAUUUCUAUUUUUACACAUGCUCUGUCAUAACUUAAGCUCAGAAUUUUCAAAGCUGACAAGUUAAACUCUGGACUUUGUGCAGGGUGUAAAAGGGAACAAGACAAUUCAUGAUUAGGGCUAGUUGUCUGUGACUGGAGGAGCAGAAAGAGAUCAUGAAUCCUGCUUUUAGGAAAAAAUCAUGGAGUAUGUAUAUAGCUGACAUUAAAAAGCUGCUGGCUUUGCCAAGGCUGAAUCAGGAAAGUGGAGCUGAAGGUGGGGCCUGAACUAGCAGGGAUUGGGAAAGAGGUUUUAAAUUGUUUUCAGACAGUGGCUAAAUGUUAUUUAAUGGGCUUUGAACACUUUUUGUUUGCAAAUUGUAAGCAAUUUUAAUUAAAAUAAUGUGACCUGUGAUUCUUAGCACUGUCUACUAUUAAAAUGAUUGCUUUUUCUGCUUCA
Molecule: long non-coding RNA, 2653 nt
Organism: Chelonia mydas (Green sea turtle)
Lineage: Eukaryota; Metazoa; Chordata; Testudines; Cheloniidae
Exons: 2
Source: RefSeq, a predicted model, not a curated record